GCUGGGAUGGUGGAAUUGGUAGACACGCGUGGUUUAGGACCACGUGCCUUCGGGCGUGGGAGUUCAAGUCUCCCUCCCAGCACCA
RNAcentral lists this transfer RNA (85 nucleotides) under Patescibacteria group bacterium. Its description in RNAcentral is "tRNA-Leu". It matches the Rfam family "tRNA". Rfam says of the family: Transfer RNA (tRNA) molecules are approximately 80 nucleotides in length. The record is from RNAcentral.